ACGAACGUUGGCGGGAUGUUUUAAGCAUGCAAGUCGAGCGGCAGCAUGGGUGCUUGCACCUGAUGGCGAGCGGCGAACUGGUGAGUAACGCGUAGGUUAUCUACCUAAGAGACUGGGAUAGCUACUGGAAACAGUGAUUAAUACCGGAUAUGCCAUGUAUUUGGUUUAUAUGGUGAAAGCAGCGUUUGCUGCACUCUUAGAUGAGCCUGCGUCCCAUUAGCUUGUUGGUGGGGUAAAAGCCUACCAAGGCAACGAUGGGUAGCCGGCCUGAGAGGGUGAUCGGCCACAUCGGGACUGAGAUACGGCCCGG
RNAcentral lists this ribosomal RNA (310 nucleotides) under uncultured bacterium. RNAcentral describes it as "bacterial SSU rRNA". It matches the Rfam family "Bacterial small subunit ribosomal RNA", at positions 29 to 334 of the family's 1533-position model. The record is from RNAcentral.